GCCCCCUUUGUCUAAUGGUUAUGACGUCAGACUUCUACAGGACUUCUACUCAAUAUAGGGGCGAUCUGGAGGUUGCGGGUUCGAGUCCCGCAGGGGGUU
RNAcentral lists this transfer RNA (99 nucleotides) under Armillaria solidipes. It matches the Rfam family "tRNA". From Rfam's summary of the family: Transfer RNA (tRNA) molecules are approximately 80 nucleotides in length. Lineage: Eukaryota; Fungi; Basidiomycota; Agaricomycetes; Agaricales; Physalacriaceae. The record is from Rfam by way of RNAcentral.